RNAcentral lists this ribosomal RNA (463 nucleotides) under uncultured bacterium. RNAcentral's name for it is "partial 16S ribosomal RNA". It matches the Rfam family "Bacterial small subunit ribosomal RNA", at positions 28 to 507 of the family's 1533-position model. The record is from RNAcentral.
GAUGAACGCUGACAGAAUGCUUAACACAUGCAAGUCGAUGGGGAAGUGGUGCUUGCACCAUGGUAACCAUGGCGGACGGGUGAGUAACGCGUAAGGAACUUGCCUGCGGGACUGGGAUAACAGCAGGAAACUGCUGAUAAUACCGGAUAAGGUCAUUAAGCUGCAUAGCUUAGUGAUGAAAGGAGACGCCUGCGGAGAGCCUUGCGUCCUAUUAGCUAGUUGGAGGGGUAACGGCCCACCAAGGCGAAGAUAGGUAGCCGGCCUGAGAGGGUGGACGGCCACAAGGGGACUGAGAUACGGCCCUUACUCCUACGGGAGGCAGCAGUGGGGAAUAUUGGACAAUGGGGGCAACCCUGAUCCAGCAAUCCUGUGUGCACGAAGACGGUUUUCGGAUUGUAAAGUGCUUUCAGCAGGGAAGAAGGAAGUGACGGUACCUGCAGAAGAAGCGACGGCUAAAUACGUG